AGUGAACGCUGGCGGUAGGCCUAACACAUGCAAGUCGAACGGCAGCACAGUAAGAGCUUGCUCUUACGGGUGGCGAGUGGCGGACGGGUGAGGAAUACAUCGGAAUCUACUUUUUCGUGGGGGAUAACGUAGGGAAACUUACGCUAAUACCGCAUACGACCUACGGGUGAAAGCAGGGGAUCUUCGGACCUUGCGCGAUUGAAUGAGCCGAUGUCGGAUUAGCUAGUUGGCGGGGUAAAGGCCCACCAAGGCGACGAUCCGUAGCUGGUCUGAGAGGAUGAUCAGCCACACGGGAACUGAGACACGGUCCAGACUCCGACGGGAGGCAGCAGUGGGGAAUAUUGGACAAUGGGCGCAAGCCUGAUCCAGCCAUACCGCGUGGGUGAAGAAGGCCUUCGGGUUGUAAAGCCCUUUUGUUGGGAAAGAAAAGCAGCAGGUUAAUACCCCGCUGUUCUGACGGUACCCAAAGAAUAAGCACCGGCUAAGUUCGUG
RNAcentral lists this ribosomal RNA (492 nucleotides) under uncultured bacterium. RNAcentral's name for it is "partial 16S ribosomal RNA". It matches the Rfam family "Bacterial small subunit ribosomal RNA", at positions 29 to 507 of the family's 1533-position model. The record is from RNAcentral.